RNAcentral lists this ribosomal RNA (729 nucleotides) under uncultured fungus. RNAcentral's name for it is "eukaryotic LSU rRNA". The stretch from base 326 to 479 matches the Rfam family "5.8S ribosomal RNA". The record is from RNAcentral. Lineage: Eukaryota; Fungi.
CUAACAAGGUUUCCGUAGGUGAACCUGCGGAAGGAUCAUUACAAAUCCCACGCCGUGGCUAGCCCCUCGGCGGAUGGGGGGCGUGCCGGCCCAUUGGCCCGUCGCGCGCCCGACCCCCCCAAACUCUCUGCGUACACAUCCCCGUUGCUUCCCCGGGCAGGCGUCACGCCUCCCGGGGGAGGACACACCGACAGCACACGAUGCCGGCAAACAGGCCCGUCCAACCCUCCCCACUCAAUCCGCCCUGUCCGAAGGCCAGCACGGCCGUGGAGAAGGAGGAGCGAGCUAGGGACGGAGAAAAUGAAAAGAAGAAGAACGUAAAGAAAACUUUCAACAACGGAUCUCUUGGUUCCCGCAUCGAUGAAGAACGCAGCGAAAUGCGAUAAGUAAUGUGAAUUGCAGAAUUCAGUGAAUCAUCGAAUCUUUGAACGCACAUUGCGCCCCCUGGCAUUCCGGGGGGCAUGCCUGUUCGAGCGUCUCUGGAAAGUAGACUCACGCGACGAAACGCGUGGUGGUGACGGCGGCGGCGGACCCUGUUGCAGGGGAGGCCACCCCGGCGGAAACCAUGGGCGGACGACUGCCGCGUCGCAGAGCGUGAUAAUUCGCUAUCGCCUCGAGCGCGGACCGGUUGCCAGCCCUCGCAAGGCGCCCGCCAAGCCGCAGAGUGUGACGGUCUCGCCCUCCGAAUCAGGUAGGGAUACCCGCUGAACUUAAGCAUAUCAAUAAGCG